This 440-nucleotide long non-coding RNA is filed under the name Carica papaya (papaya). Its description in RNAcentral is "long non-coding RNA (CPAP_LNC008701)". Lineage: Eukaryota; Viridiplantae; Streptophyta; Magnoliopsida; Brassicales; Caricaceae. The record is from RNAcentral.
CCCUUGGCCAACUUCCCCCGCCGUCUUCUUAUCUAGGUUACCCAGAAGGUGAUCUGCUAGUUCGAAAACGAUCUUCACCAUCCUUCACUAUCCACCAGCUUCCUCCCCUUCCGGAAUGAAUUUUCUCUUUGUUGCCCCUCCUCUCUCCUCUAUCAGCACCAAAUAAUGUCUGCUCCUAUUUCUUCCGAGCGUUAUCCAGAGGUUGUACUACUUUCUUGUGAGAUGUCUUCCCCAUGUCCUUCCUCCCUUCCUCCAGUAGAAGUCCGCCCGGGAAUCCAUCAGCCACUCGACCCCUCCUCCUCUAGAAAUAUUGAAGCUUGAAAACCUUUCCCAAUCUCACUGAUCCUGAUUCCAUCCAUCCGCCUUCCCUCUACCAUUACAUUGUAAGACUUAUUCUCAAUCACCAGAAAUGUUUUUGCACUUUUGACUCCAUCUUCUCU